Molecule: ribosomal RNA, 467 nt
Filed under: uncultured bacterium
Lineage: Bacteria
Description: partial 16S ribosomal RNA
Rfam family: Bacterial small subunit ribosomal RNA
Source: RNAcentral
GAUGAACGCUGACAGAAUGCUUAACACAUGCAAGUCAACUUGAAUUUGGGUUUUUAACUUAGGUUUGGGUGGCGGACGGGUGAGUAACGCGUAAAGAACUUGCCUCACAGCUAGGGACAACAUUUGGAAACGAAUGCUAAUACCUAAUAUUAUGAUAAUAGGGCAUCCUAUAAUUAUGAAAGCUAUAAGCGCUGUGAGAGAGCUUUGCGUCCCAUUAGCUAGUUGGAGAGGUAACGGCUCACCAAGGCGAUGAUGGGUAGCCGGCCUGAGAGGGUGAUCGGCCACAAGGGGACUGAGACACGGCCCUUACUCCUACGGGAGGCAGCAGUGGGGAAUAUUGGACAAUGGACCGAGAGUCUGAUCCAGCAAUUCUGUAUGCACGAUGAAGUUUUUCGGAAUGUAAAGUGCUUUCAGUUGGGAAGAAACAAAUGACGGUACCAACAGAAGAAGUGACGGCUAAAUACGUG